Bactrocera oleae (olive fruit fly) is the source of this 365-nucleotide non-coding RNA. NCBI's taxonomy places the organism in Eukaryota, Metazoa, Arthropoda, Insecta, Diptera, Tephritidae. The record is from RefSeq and is a predicted model, not a curated record.
CAUCUCUAUUAAAAAGCUGAUCUCCAUAUUCAUGUAUAUAUGUACACAGAUAUGUAUAUUUCAUAUAAAUGCAUUUCAACAUAGGACCCUCUCGUAAGACGACACAACUCAUAACAAAUGUUAAAUCACCUCACCACGGCUGUAAAAAUGUUCUACAAACAAUAAAUAAUCUAAUCAAUGAGUAUUGAUAUAAAUUUGUAUUGUUUUUAAUUUGGUGUAAAGAUAUUAAUUUUACAUUUAGUUCUUAUUGGUUUUGCAAAUGUGAUACAACUUAUAUACUGUGACAGGGCAAUUUGAAAUGCUGCAUAACGUUGUAUAAAAACCAAAAUAAAAACAAGCUUUAUAUAUUAGCUUAUUUUAUGAAA